Long non-coding RNA from Pygocentrus nattereri (red-bellied piranha), 909 nucleotides. NCBI's taxonomy places the organism in Eukaryota, Metazoa, Chordata, Actinopteri, Characiformes, Serrasalmidae. The record is from Ensembl.
CAAGCAGACACAAAACUAAAAUGUCUUUGAUCAUGUUUAAAAUCAACUUUCUCAACACAUGUAAAAUGACUUGGUCAAGAUAAAAAUGUUUACAUGGAAAAUGGUUUUCAUGGCUUGAACUGCUGUGUUCAUGUAAACAGUAUUUUAAUAAUUCAUGUCUGUAGAUCCUGCAGGUCAUAUAGUUCCUGUAAUGCUGACCCUGGCAGUUUUCUCAGCAGUGUGUGUGGCUGUAAUCUGCGCUCAAACCAUUUUAAUCCAUAAACUGAGAAAAUCUGAAUGCCGUGCUGGUGAAAAAGCUCAAGAGGGGGCUGUGAAUGAGAGGACCACCAGACAGGAACAAAAUCCUGAGAACCUGCAUUACGCUGCCAUCCACAUCAGAGAAGAGAAGAAAGCCAAAGGUGGGAGAGUGAAGAGAGAAGAGCCUGAAGACGUUGUUUACUCUCACGUGAGAAGCUCCAAUGCUGCUGCUCAGCGCUCACAUCGCUAGUUUCCUAAGAUGAUCAUGAGUGAAGAUUUGGACUUUUUCACGUCUCAAAUGAGCUCCAGUCUAUAAUCUGUAGCUUUUAUUUCUUGUUAGUGAUUGUUUUGCUGAUUGAAAUGAAGUCUCGGUUCUCUGAAGGAUGAUGUGAGAACUGAGCUUUAGAGCAUGUGGUCACUAUGAUCACACAGACUGAUGGGCUCUGAUACUGCAUUGUCUUCAUGUGAGUUAUUGAUAUUGGCCAGAAACUUAUGCCUCAAAUAAUGCAUAACAAAUGACAGUGAUGUGCCACAGUCUAAGCACCUCAGGUUAAACGACGUUCAAACGUCUGCAUACAACUGUAAGCUUGUAAGUGGUUUAGCUUCAGAUAAGUAGCUGAUGACCAAUUGGUCAUUCACUUUAAAUUAAUAGUUUGUUUUUCUACCCCAAGU